ACUCCUACGGGAGGCAGCAGUGGGGAAUAUUGCACAAUGGGCGCAAGCCUGAUGCAGCCAUGCCGCGUGUGUGAAGAAGGCCUUCGGGUUGUAAAGCACUUUCAGUCGUGAGGAAGGUGGUAGUGUUAAUAGCACUAUCAUUUGUACGUUAGCGACAGAAGAAGCACCGGCUAACUCCGUGCCAGCAGCCGCGGUAAGUACGGAGGGUGCGAGCGUUAAUCGGAAUUACGUGGGCGUAAAGCGCAUGCAGGUGGUUUGUUAAGUCAGAUGUGAAAGCCCGGGGCUCAACCUCGGAAUAGCAUUUGAAACUGGCAGACUAGAGUACUGUAGAGGGGUAGAAUUUCGAGGUGUAGCGGUGAAAUGCGUAGAGAUCUGAAGGAAUACCGGUGGCGAAGGCGGCCCCUGGACAGAUACUGACACUCAGAUGCGAAAGCGU
RNAcentral lists this ribosomal RNA (436 nucleotides) under uncultured bacterium. Its description in RNAcentral is "bacterial SSU rRNA". It matches the Rfam family "Bacterial small subunit ribosomal RNA", at positions 335 to 762 of the family's 1533-position model. The record is from RNAcentral.